UUUCUUGAUUAGUGGCGCACGGGUGAGUAAUGCAUAGAUAAUGUGCCUUAGUUCGGGAUAGCCACUGGAAACGGUGAUUAAUACCGGAUACUCCUUCUUGUUAUAAGACAAGUCGGGAAAGUUUUUCGCUAAGGGAUCAGUCUAUGUUCCAUCAGCUUGUUGGUGAGGUAAUGGCUCACCAAGGCUAUGACGGAUAUCUGGUUUGAGAGGAUGAUCAGACACACUGGAACUGAGACACGGUCCAGACUCCUACGGGAGGCAGCAGUGAGGAAUAUUGCACAAUGGAGGAAACUCUGAUGCAGCAACGCCGCGUGGAGGAUGACGCAUUUCGGUGUGUAAACUCCUUUUAUUAGGGAAGAUAAUGACGGUACCUAAUGAAUAGGCACCGGCUAACUCCGUGCCAGCAGCCGCGGUAAUACGGAGGGUGCAAGCGUUACUCGGAAUCACUGGGCGUAAAGGGUGCGUAGGCUGGCUUUUAAGUCAGAUGUGAAAUCCAAUGGCUCAACCAUUGAACUGCAUUUGAAACUGAAAGCCUAGAGUUCAGAAGGGGCAGAUGGAAUUAGUGGUGUAGGGGUAAAAUCCGUAGAUAUCACUAGGAAUAUCAAAAGCGAAGGCGAUCUGC
Molecule: ribosomal RNA, 622 nt
Filed under: uncultured bacterium
Lineage: Bacteria
Description: bacterial SSU rRNA
Rfam family: Bacterial small subunit ribosomal RNA
Source: RNAcentral